GACCUUGUGGCACAAUGGUAGCGCGUCUGACUCCAGAUCAGAAGGUUGCGUGUUCAAAUCACGCCGGGGUCA
RNAcentral lists this transfer RNA (72 nucleotides) under Loxodonta africana (African savanna elephant). RNAcentral describes it as "tRNA-Trp (CCA) (tRNA-Trp-CCA-12-1)". It matches the Rfam family "tRNA". From Rfam's summary of the family: Transfer RNA (tRNA) molecules are approximately 80 nucleotides in length. Their secondary structure includes four short double-helical elements and three loops (D, anti-codon, and T loops). Further hydrogen bonds mediate the characteristic L-shaped molecular structure. tRNAs have two regions of fundamental functional importance: the anti-codon, which is responsible for specific mRNA codon recognition, and the 3' end, to which the tRNAs corresponding amino acid is attached (by aminoacyl-tRNA synthetases). tRNAs cope with the degeneracy of the genetic code in two manners: having more than one tRNA (with a specific anti-codon) for a particular amino acid; and 'wobble' base-pairing, i.e. permitting non-standard base-pairing at the 3rd anti-codon position. The record is from Rfam by way of RNAcentral. Lineage: Eukaryota; Metazoa; Chordata; Mammalia; Proboscidea; Elephantidae.